RNAcentral lists this ribosomal RNA (440 nucleotides) under uncultured bacterium. Its description in RNAcentral is "partial 16S ribosomal RNA". It matches the Rfam family "Bacterial small subunit ribosomal RNA", at positions 338 to 795 of the family's 1533-position model. The record is from RNAcentral.
CCUACGGGAGGCAGCAGUAGGGAAUAUUGCUCAAUGGGGGAAACCCUGAAGCAGCAACGCCGCGUGGAGGAUGAAGGUUUUCGGAUUGUAAACUCCUUUUGUUAGAGAAGAUAAUGACGGUAUCUAACGAAUAAGCACCGGCUAACUCCGUGCCAGCAGCCGCGGUAAUACGGAGGGUGGAAGCGUUACUCGGAAUCACUGGGCGUAAAGAGCGCGUCGGCGGGAUAGCAAGUCAGAUGUGAAAUCCUAUGGCUUAACCAUAGAACUGCAUUUGAAACUGGUAUUCUAGAGUAUGGGAGAGGUAGGUGGAAUUCUUGGUGUAGGGGUAAAAUGCGUAGAGAUCAAGAGGAAUACUCAUUGCGAAGGCGACCUGCUAGAACAUAACUGACGCUGAUGCGCGAAAGCGUGGGGAGCAAACAGGAUUAGAUACCCGUGUAGUC